RNAcentral lists this transfer RNA (77 nucleotides) under Methanobrevibacter sp. RNAcentral describes it as "tRNA-Gly". It matches the Rfam family "tRNA". Rfam says of the family: Transfer RNA (tRNA) molecules are approximately 80 nucleotides in length. Their secondary structure includes four short double-helical elements and three loops (D, anti-codon, and T loops). Lineage: Archaea; Methanobacteriati; Methanobacteriota; Methanobacteria; Methanobacteriales; Methanobacteriaceae. The record is from RNAcentral.
GUCUCUAUAGCUCAGUCUGGUCAGAGCGUUGGCUUGCCAUGCCGAAUACACGGGUUCAAAUCCCGUUGGAGACUCCA